Molecule: transfer RNA, 72 nt
Filed under: Schistocerca americana (American grasshopper)
Lineage: Eukaryota; Metazoa; Arthropoda; Insecta; Orthoptera; Acrididae
Also listed under: 1 other name
Description: tRNA-Gln
Rfam family: tRNA
About the family: Transfer RNA (tRNA) molecules are approximately 80 nucleotides in length. Their secondary structure includes four short double-helical elements and three loops (D, anti-codon, and T loops). Further hydrogen bonds mediate the characteristic L-shaped molecular structure. tRNAs have two regions of fundamental functional importance: the anti-codon, which is responsible for specific mRNA codon recognition, and the 3' end, to which the tRNAs corresponding amino acid is attached (by aminoacyl-tRNA synthetases). tRNAs cope with the degeneracy of the genetic code in two manners: having more than one tRNA (with a specific anti-codon) for a particular amino acid; and 'wobble' base-pairing, i.e. permitting non-standard base-pairing at the 3rd anti-codon position.
Source: RNAcentral
GGUUCCAUGGUGUUAUGGUUAGCACUCUGGACUUUGAAUCCAGCGAUCCGAGUUCGAGUCUCGGUGGAACCU